UCCUACGGGAGGCAGCAGUGGGGAAUAUUGCGCGAUGGGGGGAACCCUGACGCAGCCAUGCCGCGUGAAUGAAGAAGGCCUUCGGGUUGUAAAGUUCUUUCGGUAAUGAGGAAGGGAUGUUGUUAAAUAGAUAGCAUCAUUGACGUUAAUUACAGAAGAAGCACCGGCUAACUCCGUGCCAGCAGCCGCGGUAAUACGGAGGGUGCGAGCGUUAAUCGGAAUAACUGGGCGUAAAGGGCACGCAGGCGGAUUGUUAAGUGAGAUGUGAAAGCCCCGAGCUUAACUUGGGAAUUGCAUUUCAGACUGGCAGUCUAGAGUAUUUUAGGGAGGGGUAGAAUUCCACGUGUAGCGGUGAAAUGCGUAGAGAUGUGGAGGAAUACCGAAGGCGAAGGCAGCCCCUUGGGAAUAUACUGACGCUCAUGUGCGAAAGCGUGGGGAGCAAACAGGAUUAGAUACCCUGGUAGUCC
RNAcentral lists this ribosomal RNA (467 nucleotides) under uncultured bacterium. RNAcentral describes it as "bacterial SSU rRNA". It matches the Rfam family "Bacterial small subunit ribosomal RNA", at positions 337 to 796 of the family's 1533-position model. The record is from RNAcentral.